Molecule: transfer RNA, 77 nt
Filed under: Helicobacter sp.
Lineage: Bacteria; Pseudomonadati; Campylobacterota; Epsilonproteobacteria; Campylobacterales; Helicobacteraceae
Also listed under: 21 other names
Description: tRNA-Arg
Rfam family: tRNA
About the family: Transfer RNA (tRNA) molecules are approximately 80 nucleotides in length. Their secondary structure includes four short double-helical elements and three loops (D, anti-codon, and T loops). Further hydrogen bonds mediate the characteristic L-shaped molecular structure. tRNAs have two regions of fundamental functional importance: the anti-codon, which is responsible for specific mRNA codon recognition, and the 3' end, to which the tRNAs corresponding amino acid is attached (by aminoacyl-tRNA synthetases). tRNAs cope with the degeneracy of the genetic code in two manners: having more than one tRNA (with a specific anti-codon) for a particular amino acid; and 'wobble' base-pairing, i.e. permitting non-standard base-pairing at the 3rd anti-codon position.
Source: RNAcentral
GCGUCCGUAGCUCAGCUGGAUAGAGCAACAGGUUGCGGUCCUGUAGGUCGGGGAUUCGAAUUCCUCCGGGCGUACCA